AGAAUCAACGCUGGCGGCGUGCCUCAGACAUGCAAGUCGAACGCGAAAGUUUCCUUCGGGAGGCGAGUAGAGUGGCGCACGGGUGAGUAACACGUAGGUAAUCUACCUUUGGGUGGGGAAUAACAGCCGGAAACGGCUGCUAAUACCGCAUAAUGCAGCGGCUCGACAUCGAGACAGUUGUUAAAGCGGGGGAUUCGCAAGAACCGUCGCGCCUAAAGAGGAGCCGUGCGGCGGAUUAGCUAGUGGUAAGGUAUGGCUUACCAAGGCAUCGAU
Molecule: ribosomal RNA, 273 nt
Filed under: uncultured soil bacterium
Lineage: Bacteria
Description: partial 16S ribosomal RNA
Rfam family: Bacterial small subunit ribosomal RNA
Source: RNAcentral